UGAACGCUGGCGGCGUGCCUAAUACAUGCAAGUCGAGCGAACGGACGCGAAGCUUGCUUCUCUGAUGUUAGCGGCGGACGGGUGAGUAACACGUGGAUAACCUACCUAUAAGACUGGGAUAACUUCGGGAAACCGUAGCUAAUACCGGAUAAUAUUUUGAACCGCAUGGUUCAAAAGUGAAAGACGGUCUUGCUGUCACUUAUAGAUGGAUCCGCGCUGCAUUAGCUAGUUGGUAAGGUAACGGCUUACCAAGGCAACGAUGCAUAGCCGACCUGAGAGGGUGAUCGGCCACACUGGAACUGAGACACGGUCCAGACUCCUACGGGAGGCAGCAGUAGGGAAUCUUCCGCAAUGGGCGAAAGCCUGACGGAGCAACGCCGCGUGAGUGAUGAAGGUCUUCGGAUCGUAAAACUCUGUUAUUAGGGAAGAACAUAUGUGUAAGUAACUGUGCACAUCUUGACGGUACCUAAUCAGAAAGCCACGGCUAUCUACGUG
RNAcentral lists this ribosomal RNA (495 nucleotides) under uncultured bacterium. RNAcentral describes it as "partial 16S ribosomal RNA". It matches the Rfam family "Bacterial small subunit ribosomal RNA", at positions 30 to 507 of the family's 1533-position model. The record is from RNAcentral.